Molecule: unclassified non-coding RNA, 224 nt
Filed under: Glomeraceae sp.
Lineage: Eukaryota; Fungi; Glomeromycota; Glomeromycetes; Glomerales; Glomeraceae
Description: partial contains 5.8S ribosomal RNA and internal transcribed spacer 2
Rfam family: 5.8S ribosomal RNA (bases 1-71)
Source: RNAcentral
GUGAAUCAUCGAAUUUUUGAACGCAAAUUGCGCUUCCUGGCAUCCCGGGAAGUAUGCCUGUUUGAGGGUCAUUAUUACUAAAAAAUCGGUUCUGUUGCAAAUUGUGACGUUUCCGGUGUUGGGUCUAUCUUAACAUUUUUGGUUAAGAGGCUUAAAAUUGACCUUUUUGCGCAUUUUUAUACGUACAUUAAUUUUUUUUAUUGUUCUAUUCUAACUACCAAUAU